RNAcentral lists this ribosomal RNA (811 nucleotides) under bacterium PSD-1-2. RNAcentral's name for it is "bacterial SSU rRNA". It matches the Rfam family "Bacterial small subunit ribosomal RNA", at positions 29 to 835 of the family's 1533-position model. The record is from RNAcentral.
UUGAACGCUGGCGGCAGGCCUAACACAUGCAAGUCGAGCGGAUGAAGGGAGCUUGCUCCCUGAUUCAGCGGCGGACGGGUGAGUAAUGCCUAGGAAUCUGCCUGGUAGUGGGGGACAACGUCUCGAAAGGGACGCUAAUACCGCAUACGUCCUACGGGAGAAAGUGGGGGAUCUUCGGACCUCACGCUAUCAGAUGAGCCUAGGUCGGAUUAGCUAGUUGGUGAGGUAAUGGCUCACCAAGGCGACGAUCCGUAACUGGUCUGAGAGGAUGAUCAGUCACACUGGAACUGAGACACGGUCCAGACUCCUACGGGAGGCAGCAGUGGGGAAUAUUGGACAAUGGGCGAAAGCCUGAUCCAGCCAUGCCGCGUGUGUGAAGAAGGUCUUCGGAUUGUAAAGCACUUUAAGUUGGGAGGAAGGGCAUUAACCUAAUACGUUAGUGUUUUGACGUUACCGACAGAAUAAGCACCGGCUAACUCUGUGCCAGCAGCCGCGGUAAUACAGAGGGUGCAAGCGUUAAUCGGAAUUACUGGGCGUAAAGCGCGCGUAGGUGGUUUGUUAAGUUGGAUGUGAAAUCCCCGGGCUCAACCUGGGAACUGCAUCCAAAACUGGCAAGCUAGAGUAGGGCAGAGGGUGGUGGAAUUUCCUGUGUAGCGGUGAAAUGCGUAGAUAUAGGAAGGAACACCAGUGGCGAAGGCGACCACCUGGGCUCAUACUGACACUGAGGUGCGAAAGCGUGGGGAGCAAACAGGAUUAGAUACCCUGGUAGUCCACGCCGUAAACGAUGUCAACUAGCCGUUGGGAGUCUUGA